This 435-nucleotide long non-coding RNA is filed under the name Brassica napus (rape). RNAcentral describes it as "long non-coding RNA (BNAP_LNC023196)". The record is from RNAcentral. Lineage: Eukaryota; Viridiplantae; Streptophyta; Magnoliopsida; Brassicales; Brassicaceae.
GAUGUUAGGCUAGAUGCAAAGUCGAUAUCGACAUAUUUCUGGCUAGAUGCAACGCAGACAUCGAUAUCUUUCUCUAAUUUACUAAUCGUGGACCUAAUCCAUAUUUCUGGAAUUUGUCAAACGUCUUACUAUUUAAUUCUAUACUAAUUGUAUAGUAAAAUCAAACCGUUUUGUGAACGUCAAACGUUUUGAUUGUCAACAUAAUAAAUGUCAAUAAUUUUUUUUAUUAGUUGCAUAAACCAUGUUUUGGUUUAGCACAGUAUCUUUUGAGAAACUGUUAUAAUCAACAUGUUUUUCUUCUUCUUCUUACCUCUCUAACCUAAUAAUAAGAAAAAAUACCUAAAAGGUAGACAAAAUAUUCUGAUAAAAAUAAUAGUCAAAAUCGAUCUGCAUAUUUUAGCUCCUUUCUUUUUUUCACUAGUGGAAAUCUCCUAA